RNAcentral lists this ribosomal RNA (228 nucleotides) under uncultured bacterium. RNAcentral's name for it is "partial 16S ribosomal RNA". It matches the Rfam family "Bacterial small subunit ribosomal RNA", at positions 118 to 347 of the family's 1533-position model. The record is from RNAcentral.
UGAGCAAUCUGCCCUUCUCAUCGGAAUAAGCGUUGGAAACGACGUCUAAUGCCGAAUACGACCUCCUUUCACAUGAUCGGAGGUGGAAAGCUCCGGCGGAGAAGGAUGAGCUCGCGGCCUAUCAGCUAGUUGGUGUGGGUAACGCCCACAAGGCGACGACGGGUAGCUGGUCUGAGAGGAUGGCCAGCCACAUUGGGACUGAGACACGGUCCAGACCUCGUACGGGGA